Molecule: long non-coding RNA, 767 nt
Organism: Talpa occidentalis (Iberian mole)
Lineage: Eukaryota; Metazoa; Chordata; Mammalia; Eulipotyphla; Talpidae
Exons: 3
Source: RefSeq, a predicted model, not a curated record
AUCACAAAGCCUUUUCGCUCAGAACCCAGAGAAAAAAAGAGAGGAAAGCAAUGGGAGCUGUCUUUCUGGCCUAAGUGGCGGGUGCCGGAGGUUGUGAAUGCUAAUGCAGAGGUCGGGAGAUCGAUUGGGGAGGGACAGAGACACCAAGAAAGAGGCACUGAAGAGGCAGAGAAGAAAGGACAAGCAGGAAUACAAAGCAAGAAAGACAGGAGUGUGGAUGGGACAAGGCGCCCUGACUCCAGAGGAGCAGAUCAGGAAAGGAAAAGGCAGAAAGACAAGCAAACCCCCAGGGUGGUGUGUUGGGAGAUAGGCCAGCAUACGGGCCUCAGGCAGGCACUGCCCCGCCUCCCACCCCUCGGAGGACACCCAAAAGUGACAGCCAUCGCCUCGCUGAGUUCAUCCCGCCAAGAACAAAUGGAUUUCACAGUUCAUCAAGGGAGGAGGGGGUGUGUCAUGGGCUCAGCCACCAUGACCUACCUUUGGUCCUGCCAGCACCCCAUCUCCCUCCUGUCCCUGCCUCCUGAGAGCAGCAAGUCUGAGCAAGAAGUCACCCUUGCCUUCCCUUUGGGCAGCAGAAACGCUGCCCCUGCUUGGCCCUGAGACCUCUACCCUGGGGCUCCCCCUCUGUAGACAGGACAGAAACCUCAAGACACAGAGAAGGAAAGAGCCGGUCCCCCUCGCUGGUCGCCUCUCUCUGCUCUUACUUUUCUGCUUCUCUUCCUUCCCCUUCCUCAUCUGAGUCAAUAAUAAACAUCUCUCAUUCUUAC